This 1374-nucleotide ribosomal RNA is filed under the name Sarocladium strictum. RNAcentral describes it as "partial large subunit ribosomal RNA". It matches the Rfam family "Eukaryotic large subunit ribosomal RNA", at positions 63 to 1467 of the family's 3401-position model. The record is from RNAcentral. Lineage: Eukaryota; Fungi; Ascomycota; Sordariomycetes; Hypocreales; Sarocladiaceae.
AACCAACAGGGAUUGCCUCAGUAACGGCGAGUGAAGCGGCAACAGCUCAAAUUUGAAAUCUGGCCUCACGGUCCGAGUUGUAAUUUGUAGAGGAUGCUUUUGGCGAGGUGCUUUCCGAGUUCCCUGGAACGGGACGCCAUAGAGGGUGAGAGCCCCGUACGGUAAGACCACCGAGCCUCUGUAAAGCUCCUUCGACGAGUCGAGUAGUUUGGGAAUGCUGCUCUAAAUGGGAGGUGUACGUCUUCUAAAGCUAAAUACCGGCCAGAGACCGAUAGCGCACAAGUAGAGUGAUCGAAAGAUGAAAAGCACUUUGAAAAGAGGGUUAAAAAGUACGUGAAAUUGUUGAAAGGGAAGCAUUCAUGACCAGACUUGGGCUUGGUUGAACAUCCGGCGUUCUCGCCGGUGCACUCUGCCAGUCCAGGCCAGCAUCAGUUUGCCCCGGGGGACAAAGGCGGUGGGAAUGUGGCUCUCUUCGGGAGUGUUAUAGCCCGCCGUGUAAUGCCCUGGGGCGGACUGAGGAACGCGCUUCGGCACGGAUGCUGGCGUAAUGGUCAUCAAUGACCCGUCUUGAAACACGGACCAAGGAGUCGUCUUCGUAUGCGAGUGUUCGGGUGUCAAACCCCUACGCGUAAUGAAAGUGAACGUAGGUGAGAGCUUCGGCGCAUCACCGACCGAUCCUGAUGUUCUCGGAUGGAUUUGAGUAAGAGCAUACGGGGCCGGACCCGAAAGAAGGUGAACUAUGCCUGUAUAGGGUGAAGCCAGAGGAAACUCUGGUGGAGGCUCGCAGCGGUUCUGACGUGCAAAUCGAUCGUCAAAUAUGGGCAUGGGGGCGAAAGACUAAUCGAACCUUCUAGUAGCUGGUUUCCGCCGAAGUUUCCCUCAGGAUAGCAGUGUUGAACUCAGUUUUAUGAGGUAAAGCGAAUGAUUAGGGACCCGGGGGCGCUAUUUAGCCUUCAUCCAUUCUCAAACUUUAAAUAUGUAAGAAGCCCUUGUUGCUUAAUUGAACGUGGGCAUUCGAAUGUAUCAACACUAGUGGGCCAUUUUUGGUAAGCAGAACUGGCGAUGCGGGAUGAACCGAACGCGAGGUUAAGGUGCCAGAGUAGACGCUCAUCAGACACCACAAAAGGUGUUAGUACAUCUUGACAGCAGGACGGUGGCCAUGGAAGUCGGAAUCCGCUAAGGACUGUGUAACAACUCACCUGCCGAAUGUACUAGCCCUGAAAAUGGAUGGCGCUCAAGCGUCUCACCCAUACCUCGCCCUCAGGGUUGAAAUGAUGCCCUGAGGAGUAGGCGGACGUAGAGGUCAGUGACGAAGCCUAGGGCGUGAGCCCGGGUAGAACGGCCUCUAGUGCAGAUCUUGGUGGUAGUAGCAAA